GCCAGGUUGUUCUCCACCCACCAGGCCCAGCAUGGCCUUUGCCAGAACAAUGGCAGGAUACAGGGUUAUGCUUACAUGCAGUCCUUCGAGCCAGGUUGUACUGGACCAGGCAGACCAGGGCUUGUCCGGGGUACACAGUGGCGCAGCAGCCUCAGCAUCAAAUGCAGGGACCUCUGGAGUAGCCUGGGGAUUUUCACCUACUGCCUUGACAGCGAGGCUCAAAAGGUCCCGCCAGGAGGACUUCUGGAGAGAUCGGAGCUCUCAUGCAGAUGUCAGCCAGACCUGAUCUCCUCGUCUAGAGGCCACGGUGACACUGCACGGGGAACUCUCCAGGCUCCGCUCUCAGCAGUGGUGAAUAAGGGUCCCUGACUCCCUGGCUUCUCAAUUCAGAUUCUGGCUGUCACACUGAAAAACAGGAGGGAGGCUGAAAACAUUAGCGCACAAGGCAGCACUUAAAGCAACAACCCUUUUCUGUCUUUUUCUGUUUUGCUAUUAUUGUUUUUGUUUGUUUGUUUUUUGGUUGUUGGUUGGUUGGUUGGUUUUGGCUUUAUGUUGUUUCUGAGACAGUCUCAGCACAACCCAGGUUGGCCUGCCUCGGCCUCUCCAGUGUUGGGAUUAUAGGCAUAUGCCACUGUGCCUACCUCUCUUUUCCUGUCUUUAAGAUUCCACCAUAAGUUCAGGAGUAAAUAAUAUAAUUAUCUGUAUAUUUAUUACAUAACAAGCACUGCCAAAGACUCAGUAGCUUGAAAUCACAAACGUUUCUGAUCCAGACAUGGAUUUAUGUGUCCUGAAGGCUGCCCAGAGCCGCCAGUCUCUGUGUGAUGAUACUCGGAAAGUCAACCUGAAGUCAUUAUGAGCUUCCCCCAUGGGAUGGCUGAGGCAGGACAAACACGGGAGGUGGGUAUCAGCUGUCACAGGCUCCACCUGCAGCCCAUGUACAUUUCAGCUUUGUUUGUUUAUCCUCCCUGACCGCAGGUGCCUCCAAAAUAUAGCCAUUCAUUGCCUCUUCAUUGUCACAUGUCUGCUGCAAGGGACAUUUAAUAAAUAUUUGCCUCAUAAAUGAAUAAAAAUGAAUAUAUAGUAUAUUUAUCAUUUAUUUGCUCCUCAGCCAGGACCCUGACUUGUCCCCAUGGUAACCUGCAGUAGGCUCUGAACUGAGCAAAGAGGACAUGAGUGGAAACAGGACUUAAACUUGACUUGGAAAACUUGAAGUCUAAGGAAAGAAGACAAUAUACAAAA
Cavia porcellus (domestic guinea pig) is the source of this 1239-nucleotide long non-coding RNA. RefSeq lists it as uncharacterized. The record is from RefSeq and is a predicted model, not a curated record. The transcript is spliced from 2 exons. Lineage: Eukaryota; Metazoa; Chordata; Mammalia; Rodentia; Caviidae.